CAAAGGGGAGCUGGCAGACCGGCUGAGAGGAAACUAUGCGUUUCGACCCUAGAACCUGAUUUGGAUAAUGCCAGCGUAGGAAUUGCUCAUAAC
RNAcentral lists this non-coding RNA (93 nucleotides) under uncultured Intestinibaculum sp. RNAcentral describes it as "TPP riboswitch (THI element)". It matches the Rfam family "TPP riboswitch aptamer (THI element)", at positions 8 to 91 of the family's 105-position model. From Rfam's summary of the family: Vitamin B(1) in its active form thiamin pyrophosphate (TPP) is an essential coenzyme that is synthesised by coupling of pyrimidine and thiazole moieties in bacteria. The previously detected thiamin-regulatory element, thi box was extended, resulting in a new, highly conserved RNA secondary structure, the THI element, which is widely distributed in eubacteria and also occurs in some archaea. Lineage: Bacteria; Bacillati; Bacillota; Erysipelotrichia; Erysipelotrichales; Erysipelotrichaceae. The record is from RNAcentral.